AUUAGUCGAAGGAGCAAUUACAAGAAGCAAAGAAGGAACCAUGAAGUUCGGGAACUUGUAAAAGCUGCUGGUCUAGAGAUUCCAACUUUGCACCGACUACAAAACUGCCAUCCGUUGUCACCAAAAUGAAGCAUCAAAAAACAAACGGACAGCAGAGCCUCUCUUGUUAUACAGUACCACCAGAAUCGUCCUUCAGACUGACAAAAUGGAUAUUAUUCAACUGGAUAUUGAUACCAUCCAUUAACUCAAACUCCAACAGAGAAGGGUGCCUUCGGGAACGUGGAUAUAGGUGGUGUCUGGUUGUCAUCAACUCGUACCAAUAAGUGUUGGGUUAAGUCCUGCAACGAGCGCAGUAUUUAUUUACCAAUUGGAAUCUUGAGCAGACUACCGGUAAUUAACUGAGGAAGGUGAAGAUGACGUCAAGAAUGAUUUAGUUGAAGAAAAGGUAUUGAAUAAUGUAUAUAUUUAUUACGAUUGGCUAUAUUAAGUCAUUAAAUAUCUCCAAUAAAUCUAUAACUUAUUGAGGAAUAAUUCAUCUCAAGUUGGUUAUGAGCAUAAAUAUUUCAAUAAAUGUCAAACAAUAAUUU
Molecule: long non-coding RNA, 587 nt
Organism: Cucurbita maxima (winter squash)
Lineage: Eukaryota; Viridiplantae; Streptophyta; Magnoliopsida; Cucurbitales; Cucurbitaceae
Exons: 4
Source: RefSeq, a predicted model, not a curated record